AGCGAACGCUGGCGGCAGGCCUAACACAUGCAAGUCGAACGAACCUUUCGGGGUUAGUGGCGGACGGGUGAGUAACACGUGGGAACGUGCCUUUAGGUUCGGAAUAACUCAGGGAAACUUGUGCUAAUACCGAAUGUGCCCUCCGGGGGAAAGAUUUAUCGCCUUUAGAGCGGCCCGCGUCUGAUUAGCUAGUUGGUUGAGGUAAUGGCUCACCAAGGCGACGAUCAGUAGCUGGUCUGAGAGGAUGAUCAGCCACAUUGGGACUGAGACACGGCCCAAACUCCUACGGGAGGCAGCAGUGGGGAAUCUUGCGCAAUGGGCGAAAGCCUGACGCAGCCAUGCCGCGUGAAUGAUGAAGGUCUUAGGAUUGUAAAAUUCUUUCACCGGGGACGAUAAUGACGGUACCCGGAGAAGAAGCCCCGGCUAACUUCGUG
This 434-nucleotide ribosomal RNA is filed under the name uncultured bacterium. RNAcentral describes it as "partial 16S ribosomal RNA". It matches the Rfam family "Bacterial small subunit ribosomal RNA", at positions 29 to 507 of the family's 1533-position model. The record is from RNAcentral.